UCUUGGUGAUUCAUGAUAACUUUACGGAUCGCAUGGCCUUGCGCCGGCGACGGUUCAUUCAAAUUUCUGCCCUAUCAACUUUCGAUGGUAAGGUAUUGGCUUACCAUGGUUUCAACGGGUAACGGGGAAUUAGGGUUCGAUUCCGGAGAGGGAGCCUGAGAAACGGCUACCACAUCCAAGGAAGGCAGCAGGCGCGCAAAUUACCCAAUCCCGACACGGGGAGGUAGUGACAAUAAAUACUGAUACAGGGCUCUUUUGGGUCUUGUAAUUGGAAUGAGUACAAUUUAAACCUCUUAACGAGGAACAAUUGGAGGGCAAGUCUGGUGCCAGCAGCCGCGGUAAUUCCAGCUCCAAUAGCGUAUAUUAAAGUUGUUGCAGUUAAAAAGCUCGUAGUUGAACCUUGGGUCUGGCUGGCAGGUCCGCCUCACCGCGUGUACUUGUCCGGCCGGGCCUUCCUUCUGGAGAACCUCAUGCCCUUCACUGGGCGUGUUGGGGACCAGGACUUUUACUUUGAAAAAAUUAGAGUGUUCAAAGCAGGCCUUUGCUCGAAUACGUUAGCAUGGAAUAAUAGAAUAGGACGUGCGGUCCUAUUUUGUUGGUUUCUAGGACCGCCGUAAUGAUUAAUAGGGACAGUCGGGGGCAUCAGUAUUCAAUUGUCAGAGGUGAAAUUCUUGGAUUUAUUGAAGACUAACUACUGCGAAAGCAUUUGCCAAGGAUGUUUUCAUUAAUCAGUGAACGAAAGUUAGGGGAUCGAAGACGAUCAGAUACCGUCGUAGUCUUAACCGUAAACUAUGCCGACUAGGGWUYGGGCGAUGUUCUUUUUCUGACUCGCUCGGCACCUUACGAGAAAUCAAAG
This 856-nucleotide ribosomal RNA is filed under the name Wojnowiciella spartii. RNAcentral's name for it is "SSU rRNA". It matches the Rfam family "Eukaryotic small subunit ribosomal RNA", at positions 243 to 1114 of the family's 1831-position model. Lineage: Eukaryota; Fungi; Ascomycota; Dothideomycetes; Pleosporales; Phaeosphaeriaceae. The record is from RNAcentral.